Non-coding RNA from Poeciliopsis prolifica (blackstripe livebearer), 642 nucleotides. Lineage: Eukaryota; Metazoa; Chordata; Actinopteri; Cyprinodontiformes; Poeciliidae. The record is from the annotation of a RefSeq genome assembly.
AUGAAGACCGAGCACAGAGCUGCCAGCUCUGUUUCUGCUCUCUCCUCAGACAUGCCUCCUCUGUUGUUCUUGGUGCUGCUGGCUGUUGUCAGCCUCGAAUGCAGAGCACAGACCGACAGCGUGCUGCAACCAGAGAGAGACUUGAUGGCUACUGAAGGAGGCAACGCAACUCUGCAAUGUCUCUAUGACACAAGUGGAUCCAACCAUUACCUCUACUGGUACAGACUGGAGGGAGGCAGCAGUCCCACAUUCAUCCUGAGCCGCUUUAAGAUUGGCGAUGGGAAAACAACGGAGAAGAGAUUUUCCUCCAGCCUGGAUGCCACUGCUAGAUCAGUUCCUCUGACGAUCCAGGAUCUUCGUCCGUCAGACUCUGCUGUGUACUACUGCGCUGUGCAGCCCACAGUGACAGGAAACACCAGAACCCUAAGAGUCAACAGAAGCAAAACUCACAUGCCCGAUGACAGUCCAGGAAGCCAGGCUCUCCCCGUCACCAUCGCCAGCUGCAGCACGGCUGGACCCGGUUUGGCUCCAUGGACCCUGGACCUGGUUUGGCUCCAUGGACCCUGGACCCGGUAUGGCUCCAUGGACCCUGGACCCGGUUUGGCUCCAUGGACCCUAAACGUCUUCAGGGCCCGUCCAUGA